CUAGUAUGUAUAUAUGCACUGUCCGGCUGAAGUGGAGAAGAUGGAAGAAACACACCUUCUUCGAAAAUUUCUGCCUAUUUUCACCGCCUCAUUUCGGCCUCCGUAUAUGGUGAAUAUGAAGAUUCCGGCUGAAAAAAAUAACUUUCAUUUUCUACCUAAUUGUGUUAAUGGGUUACGUAUGAAACUCCCCUUUCCCGUUUUGUGUCACUGGACUUCCUUUUUUAAGAGGAAACGAAUUGAAGAUGAGAUGAACUAAUU
RNAcentral lists this long non-coding RNA (258 nucleotides) under Olea europaea subsp. europaea. The record is from RNAcentral. Lineage: Eukaryota; Viridiplantae; Streptophyta; Magnoliopsida; Lamiales; Oleaceae.